RNAcentral lists this ribosomal RNA (498 nucleotides) under uncultured Glomeromycotina. RNAcentral's name for it is "partial small subunit ribosomal RNA". It matches the Rfam family "Eukaryotic small subunit ribosomal RNA", at positions 591 to 1092 of the family's 1831-position model. Lineage: Eukaryota; Fungi; Glomeromycota. The record is from RNAcentral.
CCAAUAGCGUAUAUUAAAGUUGUUGCAGUUAAAAAGCUCGUAGUUGAAUUUUAGGCCUGGCCGGACGGUCCGUCUCUGGCGAGUACUGUUCUGUCGUCGGGUCUAUCCUUCUGGUGAGCCGGUAUGUUCUUAAUUGGGCGUGUCGGGGAGCCAGGACCAUUACCUUGAAAAAAUUAGAGUGUUUAAAGCAGGCUUUUGCUUGAAUAGAUUAGCAUGGAAUAAUAGAAGAGGACGUUGUGGUACUAUUUUGUUGGUUCAACGACCACCGUAAUGAUUAAUAGGGAUAGUUGGGGGCAUUAGUAUUCAAUUGUCAGAGGUGAAAUUCUUGGAUUUAUUGAAGACUAACUAUUGCGAAAGCAUUUGCCAAGGAUGUUUUCAUUAAUCAAGAACGAAAGUUAGGGGAUCGAAGACGAUCAGAUACCGUCGUAGUCUUAACCAUAAACUAUGCCGACUAGGAAUCGGGCGACGUUAUUUUCACGACUCGCUCGGCGCCUUAUG